GACAGCUAGGAGGUUGGCUUAGAAGCAGCCACCCUUUAAAGAAAGCGUAAUAGCUCACUAGUCGAGUCGGCCUGCGCGGAAGAUGUAACGGGGCUCAAACCAGGCACCGAAGCUACGGGUAUCACCUCUGGUGAUGCGGUAGAGGAGCGUUCUGUAAGCCUGUGAAGGUGAGUUGAGAAGCUUGCUGGAGGUAUCAGAAGUGCGAAUGCUGACAUGAGUAACGACAAUGCGAGUGAAAAACUCGCACGCCGAAAG
This 255-nucleotide ribosomal RNA is filed under the name Pseudomonas oryzihabitans. RNAcentral's name for it is "partial 23S ribosomal RNA". It matches the Rfam family "Bacterial large subunit ribosomal RNA", at positions 1088 to 1343 of the family's 2925-position model. Lineage: Bacteria; Pseudomonadati; Pseudomonadota; Gammaproteobacteria; Pseudomonadales; Pseudomonadaceae. The record is from RNAcentral.